RNAcentral lists this long non-coding RNA (277 nucleotides) under Populus tremula. Its description in RNAcentral is "long non-coding RNA (PTRE_LNC000018)". Lineage: Eukaryota; Viridiplantae; Streptophyta; Magnoliopsida; Malpighiales; Salicaceae. The record is from RNAcentral.
GUACCUUCAUCUCGCUCUGGAGUGUGAGACAGAGAGGGGAUGAUUGGACGAAGUUGCGACUUUGGAGUCAGGGAGGGUGUGACCGUGUGAGACAGGGACGAUGAAGUCACUGACAAAGCCGCGAGACAGGGACGAAGACGAAGGGGACGGACGAAGACGAAGUCGAGAGACAGGGACGAAGACGAAAAAGACGAGGUCGGCUGCUCGGGCACUCGGGUGGGAUUUGCGAAUUUGGGAAAGAAAAGAGAUUGUGGUUUACUGCCACCGUGGCUUGUUU